UAAUACGUAGGGGGCGAGCGUUGUCCGGAUUUAUUGGGCGUAAAGAGCGCGUAGGCGGCCGGCCACGUCGGAUGUGAAAGCUCGGAGCUCAACUCUGAGAGGCCAUUCGAUACGGGCCGGCUAGAGGCAGGUAGAGGAGAGUGGAAUUCCUGGUGUAGCGGUGAAAUGCGCAGAUAUCAGGAGGAACACCGGUGGCGAAGGCGGCUCUCUGGGCCUGUCCUGACGCUGAGGCGCGAAAGCUGGGGGAGCAAACAGGAUUAGAUACCCUGGUAGUCCCAGCCGUAAACGUUGGGUGCUAGGUGUGGGGAGGUCUUCAACCCUUUCCGUGCCGAAGCUAACGCAUUAAGCACCCCGCCUGGGGAGUACGGCCGCAAGGCUA
This 379-nucleotide ribosomal RNA is filed under the name uncultured bacterium. Its description in RNAcentral is "bacterial SSU rRNA". It matches the Rfam family "Bacterial small subunit ribosomal RNA", at positions 521 to 896 of the family's 1533-position model. The record is from RNAcentral.